RNAcentral lists this ribosomal RNA (368 nucleotides) under uncultured organism. Its description in RNAcentral is "bacterial SSU rRNA". It matches the Rfam family "Bacterial small subunit ribosomal RNA", at positions 526 to 896 of the family's 1533-position model. The record is from RNAcentral.
CGGAGGGUGCAAGCGUUAUCCGGAUUCACUGGGUUUAAAGGGUGUGUAGGCGGAUACUUAAGUCAGUGGUGAAAUCUCCGGGCUCAACCUGGAAACUGCCAUUGAUACUAUUUAUCUUGAAUUCUGUUGAGGUGGGCGGAAUACAUCAUGUAGCGGUGAGAUGCUUAGAUAUGAUGUAGAACACCGAUUGCGAAGGCAGCUCACUAAGCAGCGAUUGACGCUGAGGCACGAAAGCGUGGGGAUCAACCAGGAUUAGAUACCCUGGUAGUCCACGCCCUAAACGAUGAUUACUCGACAUACGCGAUACACAGUGUGUGUCUGAGCGAAAGCAUUAAGUAAUCCACCUGGGAAGUACGACCGCAAGGUUG